UCCCCGGUCGUCUAACGGCAGGACAGCAGGCUCUGAACCUGUUAAUGGAGGUUCGAAUCCUCCCCGGGGAUCCA
RNAcentral lists this transfer RNA (74 nucleotides) under Deltaproteobacteria bacterium. RNAcentral's name for it is "tRNA-Gln". It matches the Rfam family "tRNA". From Rfam's summary of the family: Transfer RNA (tRNA) molecules are approximately 80 nucleotides in length. The record is from RNAcentral. RNAcentral also lists the same sequence under 2 other names. Lineage: Bacteria; Pseudomonadati; Myxococcota; Myxococcia.